GACGAACGCUGGCGGCGUGCUUAACACAUGCAAGUCGAACGAUGAACUGGAGCUUGCUCCAGGGAUUAGUGGCGAACGGGUGAGUAACACGUGAGUAACCUGCCCUUGACUCUGGGAUAAGCGCUGGAAACGGCGUCUAAUACCGGAUACGAGCUUCAGCCGCAUGGCUAGGAGUUGGAAAGAAUUUCGGUCAAGGAUGGACUCGCGGCCUAUCAGCUAGUUGGUGAGGUAAUGGCUCACCAAGGCGACGACGGGUAGCCGGCCUGAGAGGGUGACCGGCCACACUGGGGCUGGGAGACGGCCCAGACUCCUACGGGAGGCAGCAGUGGGGAAUAUUGCACAAUGGGCGCAAGUCUGCUGCAGCAACGCCGCGUGAGGGAUGACGGCCUUCGGGUUGUAAACCUCUUUUAGUAGGGAAGAAGCGAAAGUGACGGUACCUGCAGAAAAAGCACCGGCUAACUACGUGCCAGCAGCCGCCGCCG
Molecule: ribosomal RNA, 482 nt
Filed under: uncultured bacterium
Lineage: Bacteria
Description: partial 16S ribosomal RNA
Rfam family: Bacterial small subunit ribosomal RNA
Source: RNAcentral